UACGUAGGGUGCAAGCGUUAAUCGGAAUUACUGGGCGUAAAGCGUGCGCAGGCGGUUUUGUAAGUUUGUCGUGAAAUCCCCGGGCUCAACCUGGGAAUGGCGAUGAAGACUGCAAGGCUAGAAUCUGGCAGAGGGGGGUAGAAUUCCACGUGUAGCAGUGAAAUGCGUAGAGAUGUGGAGGACACCGAUGGCGAAGGCAGCCCCCUGGGUCAAGAUUGACGCUCAUGCACGAAAGGCGUGGGGAGCAACAGG
This 252-nucleotide ribosomal RNA is filed under the name uncultured bacterium. RNAcentral describes it as "partial 16S ribosomal RNA". It matches the Rfam family "Bacterial small subunit ribosomal RNA", at positions 524 to 775 of the family's 1533-position model. The record is from RNAcentral.